UACAGAGGUCUCAAGCGUUGUUCGGAUUCAUUGGGCGUAAAGGGUGCGUAGGCGGCGCGGUAAGUCGGGUGUGAAAUCUCGGGGCUUAACUCCGAAACUGCAUGCGAUACUGCCGUGCUUGAGGACUGGAGAGGAGACUGGAAUUUACGGUGUAGCGGUGAAAUGCGUAGAUAUCGUAAGGGAGACCAGUGGCGAAGGCGGGUCUCUGGACAGUUCCUGACGCUGAGGCACGAAGGUCAGGGGAGCAAACGGG
RNAcentral lists this ribosomal RNA (253 nucleotides) under uncultured bacterium. RNAcentral's name for it is "partial 16S ribosomal RNA". It matches the Rfam family "Bacterial small subunit ribosomal RNA", at positions 524 to 776 of the family's 1533-position model. The record is from RNAcentral.